Molecule: ribosomal RNA, 253 nt
Filed under: uncultured bacterium
Lineage: Bacteria
Description: partial 16S ribosomal RNA
Rfam family: Bacterial small subunit ribosomal RNA
Source: RNAcentral
UACGAAGGGUGCAAGCGUUACUCGGAAUUACUGGGCGUAAAGCGUGCGUAGGUGGUUCGUUAAGUCUGAUGUGAAAGCCCUGGGCUCAACCUGGGAAUGGCAUUGGAAACUGGCGACCUAGAGUGCGGUAGAGGGUAGUGGAAUUCCCGGUGUAGCAGUGAAAUGCGUAGAGAUCGGGAGGAACACCGGUGGCGAAGGCGGCAUCCUGGACCGAGAUUGACGCUGAUGCGCGAAAGCCAGGGGAGCAAACGGG